RNAcentral lists this long non-coding RNA (482 nucleotides) under Olea europaea (common olive). RNAcentral's name for it is "long non-coding RNA (OEUR_LNC007679)". The record is from RNAcentral. Lineage: Eukaryota; Viridiplantae; Streptophyta; Magnoliopsida; Lamiales; Oleaceae.
UAAUUUUUUUAUUUUUUUUAAUUAUUAUUUUUUAAUGAAUAGUAAAUUUUAGGACCACCUUUAAGUAGCACAUAGUGUUUGGAUCAAGUAAAUAUAACAGAACUGUAUCAAGGGAACAGGUGUCUAUACAUACAUAUCUAAUGUAUCUUGAAAGAAUGGUUGGAGAAUAAUAUAUGCAGCAGAAGCAAGAAUAAUAUGUAUAUAUACAUGCAUGGUUCAGGAGAAUAUUGUUAGUCACAUGAGGCAACAGCAAGUGCUACCCUAAGAUCAUUUGAAGUUUCACAUACGUACAUUCUGUAUGUUUCUAUUUCUUGUCGAUAAAACUUAGAAGCAGAGGCAGCAAAAUGAUUUCUGCUCGCUCUGUCACGUUUGGAAAACGUUAUCUCCCUUAACAUUGGUUCGUGCCCGUUAAGGAGGUUUCCCAUGCUCAAAACUUUUCUCCACGUCUCUCUCACGUGCCCCUUAUUUCAUGCUUUUUCUUG